This 253-nucleotide ribosomal RNA is filed under the name uncultured bacterium. RNAcentral's name for it is "partial 16S ribosomal RNA". It matches the Rfam family "Bacterial small subunit ribosomal RNA", at positions 524 to 776 of the family's 1533-position model. The record is from RNAcentral.
UACGUAGGGUGCAAGCGUUAAUCGGAAUUACUGGGCGUAAAGCGUGCGCAGGCGGUUGUGCAAGACCGAUGUGAAAUCCCCGGGCUUAACCUGGGAACUGCAUUGGUGACUGUACGGCUAGAGUGUGUCAGAGGGGGGUAGAAUUCCACGUGUAGCAGUGAAAUGCGUAGAGAUGUGGAGGAAUACCGAUGGCGAAGGCAGCCCCCUGGGAUAACACUGACGCUCAUGCACGAAAGCGUGGGGAGCGAACAGG